GAAUACAUAGCUGCUGGAAGCGAACCUGGUGAACUGAAAUAUCUAAGGAACCAGAGGAAAAGAAAUCACCCGAGAUGCCGUAAGUAGCGACGAGCGAACGCGGACUAGCCCUUAAGCUGAUUUGGUUCUAGGAAAACGCUCUGGAAAGAGCGGCCAUAGAAGGUGAUAGCCCUGUAUCUGAAAGGGCCAUUUCAGUGAAGACGAGUAGGGCGGGGCACGUGAAACCCUGUCUGAACAUGGGGGGACCAUCCUCCAAGGCUAAAUACUACUGACCGACCGAUAGUGAACCAGUACCGUGAGGGAAAGGCGAAAAGAACCCCGGAGAGGGGAGUGAAAUAGAACCUGAAACCGUGUGCGUACAAGCAGUAGGAGCUCCGCAAGGAGUGACUGCGUACCUUUUGUAUAAUGGGUCAGCGACUUACUGUUCGUGGCAAGCUUAACCGUAUAGGGGAGGCGAAGGGAAACCGAGUCUGAUAAGGGCGCAUAGUCGCGGGCAGUAG
Molecule: ribosomal RNA, 500 nt
Filed under: Mesorhizobium sp. M1C.F.Ca.ET.212.01.1.1
Lineage: Bacteria; Pseudomonadati; Pseudomonadota; Alphaproteobacteria; Hyphomicrobiales; Phyllobacteriaceae
Description: partial 23S ribosomal RNA
Rfam family: Bacterial large subunit ribosomal RNA
Source: RNAcentral